RNAcentral lists this ribosomal RNA (465 nucleotides) under Vreelandella stevensii. RNAcentral's name for it is "partial 16S ribosomal RNA". It matches the Rfam family "Bacterial small subunit ribosomal RNA", at positions 338 to 795 of the family's 1533-position model. The record is from RNAcentral. Lineage: Bacteria; Pseudomonadati; Pseudomonadota; Gammaproteobacteria; Oceanospirillales; Halomonadaceae.
CCUACGGGCGGCUGCAGUGGGGAAUAUUGGACAAUGGGCGAAAGCCUGAUCCAGCCAUGCCGCGUGUGUGAAGAAGGCCUUCGGGUUGUAAAGCACUUUCAGUGGGGAAGAAAGCCUUGGGGCUAAUACCCUCGAGGAAGGACAUCACCCACAGAAGAAGCACCGGCUAACUCCGUGCCAGCAGCCGCGGUAAUACGGAGGGUGCGAGCGUUAAUCGGAAUUACUGGGCGUAAAGCGCGCGUAGGCGGUCUGAUAAGCCGGUUGUGAAAGCCCCGGGCUCAACCUGGGAACGGCAUCCGGAACUGUCAGGCUAGAGUGCAGGAGAGGAAGGUAGAAUUCCCGGUGUAGCGGUGAAAUGCGUAGAGAUCGGGAGGAAUACCAGUGACGAAGGCGGCCUUCUGGACUGACACUGACGCUGAGGUGCGAAAGCGUGGGUAGCAAACAGGAUUAGAUACCCUAGUAGUC